CCAGACUCCUACGGGAGGCAGCAGUGGGGAAUAUUGGGCAAUGGGCGCAAGCCUGACCCAGCAACGCCGCGUGAAGGAAGAAGGCUUUCGGGUUGUAAACUUCUUUUAAGAGGGAAGAGCAGAAGACGGUACCUCUUGAAUAAGCCACGGCUAACUACGUGCCAGCAGCCGCGGUAAUACGUAGGUGGCAAGCGUUGUCCGGAUUUAUUGGGUGUAAAGGGUGCGUAGACGGGAAUGCAAGUUAGUUGUGAAAUCCCUCGGCUUAACUGAGGAACUGCAACUAAAACUACAUUUCUUGAGUGCUGGAGAGGAAAGUGGAAUUCCUAGUGUAGCGGUGAAAUGCGUAGAUAUUAGGAGGAACACCAGUGGCGAAGGCGACUUUCUGGACAGUAACUGACGUUGAGGCACGAAAGUGUGGGGAGCAAACAGGAUUAGAUACCCGCGUAC
RNAcentral lists this ribosomal RNA (447 nucleotides) under uncultured bacterium. RNAcentral's name for it is "bacterial SSU rRNA". It matches the Rfam family "Bacterial small subunit ribosomal RNA", at positions 331 to 793 of the family's 1533-position model. The record is from RNAcentral.